CAACUUUAUUAGAAGAGACGCAUUUAUUAGAUAAAAAGCCAAUGCAUGCUUUUACAGUAUGGAAAUUGGUGAUUUAUAAUAACUUGGCAAAUCGCAAAGUGAAAACAGGCGAUAAAUCAUUCAAGUUUCUGACCUAUCAGCUUUCGACGGUAUGGUAUUGGCUUACCGUGGCAGUGACGGUUAACGGGGGAUUAGGGUUCGAUUCCGGAGAGGGAGCCUGAGAAACGGCUACCACAUCUAAGGAAGGCAGCAGGCGCGCAAAUUACCCAAUUCUAACAGUUUGAGAGAGGUAGUAACAAGAAAUAACAAUACAAGGCAAUUAAAAUGUUUUGUAAUUGGAAUGAUAGAAAUUUAAACCCUUUUUAAAGUAUCAAUUGGAGGGCAAGUCUGGUGCCAGCAGCCGCGGUAAUUCCAGCUCCAAUAGCGUAUAUUAAAAUUGUUGCAGUUAAAAAGCUCGUAGUUGAAGUUCUGCUAAAAGUAACCGGUCUGCUUUUAAUAAAAGUGGUAUCUUGGUGUGUAUUUAGCAAUGAUGUCCUUUGAAGUGUUUUUUACUUUAUUGUAAUAAAGCAUAUUCAGGACUUUUACUUUGAGAAAAUUAGAGUGUUUCUAGCAGGCCGACGCUUUGAAUACUGCAGC
This 636-nucleotide ribosomal RNA is filed under the name Hepatozoon canis. Its description in RNAcentral is "SSU rRNA". It matches the Rfam family "Eukaryotic small subunit ribosomal RNA", at positions 184 to 808 of the family's 1831-position model. The record is from RNAcentral. Lineage: Eukaryota; Apicomplexa; Hepatozoidae.